This is a long non-coding RNA of Paramormyrops kingsleyae, 1826 nucleotides long. RefSeq lists it as uncharacterized. The record is from RefSeq and is a predicted model, not a curated record. NCBI's taxonomy places the organism in Eukaryota, Metazoa, Chordata, Actinopteri, Osteoglossiformes, Mormyridae.
GAAAAUGGUCCCCACAACGUCAAAAUAACAGGUUUUUAUAACAUAGUGGGAAGACACACACACACACAGACCUAUACUGGUUUGUAAUACUUUAUUAUACUUUUUGUAGUGUAAAAUUGCAAAGAGACAAUAAUAUCAUUGCAUAUCACCAUAUAAUAUAUCUUGAUAUAUUUAUCCUUCAUACAGAACCUACAUCUAUAUGCUUAUCUGUUUAUCCAUAUAAUUUGUUCUACCUUGUCAUCAUAUUGACCAUUUUCCUGGCAGUCAUUGUUAAGCUAACAGAUCAUUGGUCAAUGCUAAUAGUUUUAUGACGGUGCUAUUAUCACUGCAGCAAGAGCAGCUUGGCACUGUGACGUCACGGGCAGCAGGUCAGUGCCGUCAUGCACUGGGAGCUCAGUGCUGCUGGCUGCUGUCCCCACUGGGCUGCACUUUCGGGGACAAAAACCAAUAGCUAAUUAUCAGCUAAAUGCUAAUAGCUACUUGGCUAAUGUUUUUAUUACUCUGGGUCUUGACUUUGAAUGUGCUUGGCCUCUGCAGCCUGGAGCCCCCCAGUGCUUACGUACCUGCCCCCCCUCCAGUCACUGGGCCGGCUGGAGGUGACAGGCAGCGUGCAGGACCCACCACAGGGAACCAACUGGGCUGACUACUGUGAGGCACCCCCCCCCCCAAGGCUCGGCAAGAUCACAGGAGCAGAGGAUCCAACCAUCCAUCUGGCUGGGAGGAGAUACACAGAGCAGAGGGUAUAAAACACCCCCCCACACACACACAAAGGUGCUGCCCUGUUGGGAAAAGCCCCUAUCCUGGUCACUCGCUCGGAAACUCCAGCUUCCUGUAAACUAUCCGCUUCACAGGGAACGUGUAUCUGGAUGAAGCAGGCGGUGGGACUGAAGCUGGAGAUGCAGGGGAGAUGGAGAGAUUAAAUCUACGUGAAGCUCUCUCUUUCUGGCUGUACUAUGACUGGAUCACCUUGGGGGCUUUCAGUCAGGGAUCAUUGAAAAAAAAAAAAACGCAUUUUCAAUCCCCCCCCGCCCACACACACACACACACACACACACACACACCUUAUUUACAGACCGGCUAUGUGAGCGUCAGCACACAUCACUCUGCCCCACCAGCAGAAGGGCUCUGACAUCCCUGGAAAUUCGAAAGAAGCCCAGUGACCUCUAGGGGGCGCCACACAAGCACAGCCCUGCCCUCUGGGGAUGGAAAUACUUUUGUUUUCUCUGAGGGUUGCUUAAGUAAACAGAUCUAAUUUUGUUUAUCGGACUUUCUGGCUGACAGCAUUGAAUAAAAAUAGUUUCAUUUUAGCAAACAGCCACAGUAUUGUGGGGUCACACACAGUGCAUUAGGGUUACACACGGCACACUGAAGUAAUGCACAGCACACUGGGGUCACAUACAGUGCGCUAGAAUCACACACAACAUGCUAGGGUCACAUACAACAUGCACGCACUUUACUGAGACAUACUGGAUGGCUGAAAUACAAAGAGAUGACAGAUCUGCUUCUCGCUUUGCUGAAAUGGUUUUAUUCCACAGUCAGUGUCCUGCACUUCUCACAACACCUAGAAAGCAGCAAGCCAGGCUGGUCCUCACACAGUGGAGGUGGCACAGUAACACAGUUUGAAAUGCAAGGGAUCAUUUAGAAAAUACUGCCUCCAGCAAGACCAAACAAGGUCUCCACCUCUCUGACACCCAUGGAGACGGUGUCCCAAAACUGACCUACUUUUUAUAUAGAAUAUUUACCAGUGAAAAAUAUAUUCUCAAAUAAAUAAUGAUCUAAAAUAAAUAUAUGUCAAAAAUGCAUAAAUAAAGUCAUUUGAAAUGGUA